AUACGGAGGAUCCGAGCGUUAUCCGGAUUUAUUGGGUUUAAAGGGUGCGCAGGCGGCCAUUUAAGUCAGCGGUUAAAUCGUGGGGCUCAACCCCAUUCUGCCGUUGAUACUGGGUGGCUUGAUUGCGGUCGAGGUUGGCGGAAUUCGUUGUGUAGCGGUGAAAUGCAGAGAUAUGACGAAGAACACCGAUUGCGUAGGCAGCUGACCAGAACGCAAAUGACGCUCAUGCACGAAAGUGCGGGGAUCGAACAGGAUUAGAUACCCUGGUAGUCCGCACAGUAAACGAUGAAUACUUGUUUUCGGCGAUAGAAUGUCGGAGGCAAAGCGAAAGCGAUAAGUAUUCCACCUGGGGAGUACGCCGGCAACGGUGAAACUCAAAUGAAUUGACGGGG
This 392-nucleotide ribosomal RNA is filed under the name uncultured bacterium. RNAcentral describes it as "partial 16S ribosomal RNA". It matches the Rfam family "Bacterial small subunit ribosomal RNA", at positions 523 to 918 of the family's 1533-position model. The record is from RNAcentral.